CUUUUGAGUCUCGUUGAAACACGGCCCGGUGAUGUUCACGAUGGUGCCACCUAACAUGUUGCCGCUCUCAGGCGCGAAUACGAGAGUGCCUGGUAUGAUUUUUUCAUCAAUCCUGAAGAUGUGCCGACCUGGAAAACCGUUCGCCCAUCCUCUACCAGUCAGAUCACGAAUCGUCGACCUCUGGGAGUAUGGUUUGUAUUCGUACACUUGGGUACCGUUUCCUGCAUUGAAACCGACCUGGACGCAAUAGUGAUAAAGAUUGCAACAAUAUUUUUGAAAUGACUUCCUGUAGAAUAGCAUAAUUUGUAAAUGGAAGGAACACUCAUACUUACAAAUGCUGGUACACCACCUUCUCCACCCGU
Long non-coding RNA from Megachile rotundata (alfalfa leafcutting bee), 362 nucleotides. RefSeq lists it as uncharacterized. The record is from RefSeq and is a predicted model, not a curated record. Lineage: Eukaryota; Metazoa; Arthropoda; Insecta; Hymenoptera; Megachilidae.